GGUUGAUCCUGCCAGUAGUCAUAUGCUUGUCUCAAAGAUUAAGCCAUGCAUGUCUAAGUAUAAGCAAUUAUACUGUGAAACUGCGAAUGGCUCAUUAAAUCAGUUAUAGUUUAUUUGAUAAUACCUUACUACUUGGAUAACCGUGGUAAUUCUAGGGCUAAUACAUGCAUAAAAUCCCGACUUCUGGAAGGGAUGUAUUUAUUAGAUAAAAAACCAAUCGGGAAACCGUUUUUAGGUGAAUCAUGAUAACUUUUCGAAUCGCAUGGCUUUAUGCUGGCGAUGGUUCAUUCAAA
This 293-nucleotide ribosomal RNA is filed under the name uncultured eukaryote. Its description in RNAcentral is "partial 18S ribosomal RNA". It matches the Rfam family "Eukaryotic small subunit ribosomal RNA", at positions 6 to 303 of the family's 1831-position model. The record is from RNAcentral.